Molecule: long non-coding RNA, 4612 nt
Organism: Daucus carota subsp. sativus
Lineage: Eukaryota; Viridiplantae; Streptophyta; Magnoliopsida; Apiales; Apiaceae
Exons: 8
Source: RefSeq, a predicted model, not a curated record
AGUCCAUUACUCGUAAGAAAGCCCAGGCCUUUUAGUUAACCCAAUUUAUUUUUAGGUAUAAAAUCACUCGUCGUGUAGGUUAAGGCGGCGGCUAGGGCAACACCGCAACGAUCUAUGAUAAUCGUGUGUGUAUGUAUCUAUUUGAGUGUAAAGUGCUGAAUCAUUUCGUGAUGCUAUCUGUUUCGAAGUCCAAAAACAGUAAACAAUGAAGAAGAUGCUCCAGAAAAACAAAACAAUGAUCUGCCUGAUUGGGUUGGCAAGGGAAAACAGUAGUUCUACCAAACCCGCCUCAAAGUGGACAACGAGAAAUGCCAACAUUUUCGUUGCGGAAUUCCCACUUUGCUUGAUAUUUUGGUCAUGCAGCUGAUAUGAGGCAAAAGAACCCAAAGGCUGGCAACCCAUUUAAUGAAAUUGCACCUAUUAAAUGGGAGAUAAUUUGUGACCACUGCGAGGGAUUCCUUGUGACUCGGCCAACUGUGUGCGAGAGAACAUCAGAAGAGCACACAAUUGCUGAAGGUAGAUCUACUUCUUACUUAAUUCAUUAACAUAUAAAUAAUUUCCCUAUAAUUAUGCAUUGACCCAAAUAUAUUAGUUUAACAUGUAGUUCUUGCGUCUUUUUUCCCAUACCUGUAUAUCAUUUUAUUUCUAAAAAGACAUGAUAAGAUUGUUGUUAGGAAUUAAUCAUCAUAUUGGUUUUUGUUGUCCAUCAUUGAUUAAAUAUUAAAAAUUUGAGAAUUUAACUUUAAAGGUGUUUUCUCUUAGCUUUUAAUCUGAAAACACUUGCAAUACCACUUGUACAAAAGAUAACCAAGAAGGUAAUAUGAAAAUUAAACUGGCUUCUACAAAGAGAAAGAUAAAAGGAACGAAGCAGCACAUCGUGGAACUUUUGAAAUCGCAAGAACCGAGUUAAAAGUGAUAACCUUCUUCCAUGCAGUUCUGCAUAUGUAUUCUUUACAAUAUUGUCUUAUACUUAUUCCCAUGUAAAAUCAGGGCUCAAAAGACUUAAAAUCGAUGAUGUUCAGCACGUGCAAGUUACUUGAAGUAGUUUUUAUAUUUGUCUAUUUAUUUAUUGAGCUGAACGAUGUAUAAUAUGUGUUUGUUAACCCAAGAUCGAGUCUGUACUUUGGAAUGAUUUUUCUUAGUUUACCAGUUGUCUACAGAUUUCUGUAGGAUUUGCUUAGGUGCCAAAGUUAAUGUUUUCAUGAAGUUAUUGGUGGAAGAACAGAGAACAUAGUAUUGAUUAAUGUACAAGAAAUUUAUAAAAUGAAAAUUUUAUUAUUAUAUCCUUCCGGUAUCUGUCUGAAACUGCGAAUUGAUAAAUAUAUUAAUUUAGAAAAAUUAGGAAUUAAUAUAAAAAUAUUAAAUUUUGGUAUGUAUGUAGAAGAAUCAAACAUUUUUAUCCGCACCACUGAAUUGGCGAGAACAAUCUACUUCUAUAUAUAAUAAGCCAACCACGGGAAAAAUAUGCCUAAAUAAUACUUGUGAAAUGACAAGUAUAUCCCAGUUAUUUUUUAAUUACAUUUCUGCUAAGACCUAUUAAAGGAGCUUAACGCUUCCACUUUUGUCUUGAAAGAAACUGAUACACACCGAUGAUGUUCUUUUCAUCCUCAUCCCAAUACACGGUGUAGGAAUUAUAUGCGAAGAACAUUUGAGGUGUUGUUUGACAGGUAUAGAAGUAGAAGUAUAUUAGAGUUGGAAGGGUUUUAUGUGUUUUUUUACGGUAAUGUAAUCAGCUUAUGUUAAUUGUUAUUGUGGAAAUGUGAUAUAUAUUUGUUAUUUUGUGUAUUCUGUUUACUGUGUUUUGUUCCUAGCCAUAAUUUUUUGGUCGUUAAUUUGUUGUUGAAGUAUAUAAUUUUGCUCUUAUUUUAGUUAUUUGGAAUGGUGCAUUGUGGAGAUUCUAACUUGUUGGCAAGUAAUUUGUUAUUAUGUCUUAUAGUGCAAGGGAUGAUUUAGUUAAAAGUACUCCAAUGAUAAAGUUGCAACUAUAUCCGUGCUUGUGCCAGUUUAUCUGAAGUAGUCUGAUAUGUACGGAAUUGGAUUCACUGUAUAUGAUUCACUUCCUAUGAACUAUCCCACACUCUUGGUGUAGAAGGCAUCGGCAUUGUUAUUAUUAUUAGGAGUCGUAAACAGGGAUUGCAUUCAUCAUAUAUUAUACCCUAAAUUGAUAGAGCUGGGUGGAGUUUUGAAAGAAGGUGAGUCCUUAAAUAGUGAUAUAAUAUGCGGUGCUUUACUUUCUGAGUUUCAUAAUCUUGUCAGGUAAUAUUAUUCUUUAAGAAGCACCGUGAUUAGGAAAGAACGUAAGAUGUCAAAUAUGCCUCAGGUUCUUACGGGAAACACCUACAGACUAGUACAGUUCUUGGAUUAAUCAACUUGAUAGGAUAUUAUACAAUUUAAGAAGAAGAUGGAUGUCUAAAAAUAAAUUAGCUCAUAAGUCAAACAAUGUGGAAAUGAGGAAUGUUACAAUUUAUUUCAUGGACCAUAAUCAAAACUAAUCUAAUGUCCAUAAUUGAUGUAAAUAUUUUGUUACAGGCGAAAUUAAAGCAUUGGAAGCAGCUAUGAAUGACAUUAAUAACUCAUUUGGAAAAGGAGCUGUAACAAGAUUAAACGUUUAGAAUCUAAACUAUUAUUUGGUAUAAGAAUUGAAUUUUUUUAUUCAGUGUAGAUAUUAUUUUUUUGCAUCUCAAUAUACGUGUUAAAAAGUCAAAGUCGGUUAAAAUGUAACCGGGACAGAGGGAAUAUUAAACUUUCUGUCGUAGUAUAUUGUAUAGUUUGGUUGAAAGUUAUUAGUUUGUGAUAUAUCUUUACUUCUUUUUAAAGGUAUGUUUUCGUACACACUUUGAGGUAUUGUAAAACAAACUCAGUGCAAUCUUUUUCACGUGAAGAUUAUCUUGUUUAAUAUCCAGGAUACGUAUGGCUCUGAGAUGGUGAAGUAAACAAUGAAGAUGAUGCUCCAAAAAGAUGGAAAACAGUAACUAAGGCUGGCUAAUCUGCUACUUAUCUGCUAUUAAGAAGCUGCUGCUUGUCUACUUGGUUAUUUCGUUGAAGAUAAAGCAACGCGACAUAUCGGGAACUUUUGAAAUUGCAAGAACUAAGUUAAAAGCUGGCAAUGUAGAUGAUUUUUUUCCAAGUAGUUGAACCUACCAAUGUAUUCCUUACCAUAUUGUCUUAUGCUUAUUUCUAUGUAACAUCAAUGCUCAAAAGACUUAAAAUCUAAGUUACUCAAGUAGUUUUUAUAUUUGUCUGUUUAUUUAUUUACCUAUAUAAUGUAUAUAAUACGUUUGUGUGAUGACAGAGGAUCGAUUCAGCACUUUGUAAAAAAAAUUCAUAGUUUACAUGCUACUCACUUGACGUAUAUGUAAUUAAUAUUAUUUUUAAAAUUUUAUACUAAAGAAUGUCAAAUCUUAUAUCUAUAUAAAGCAAAAUCUCGGGCGUCUUACGUGGCGCUCUUUACGCUCUUGAAUCAAAAUCCCUGCUCUCUGCACUUUUGGCUAUUUCUUUUAUAUUUUCUCUCAGCUUGCCUAGCGGUUAUGUUCAGCCUGGGACUUGGACAGGCACUUCAGUUACCCGCUCCGUAACUGAGGUCUCUGUGCCUCCUCAGAGAUUUACUUAUAAAUGGCCUUCUCUGGACAAUCUUUUCACACCGGGGAAAGCCGAUCGGCAUGAAUAUGACGGAUUCAGCUAGAGGGUCAAAGCGGGUAUGUAUGUUAUUCUUGCUGAUUUUCAGGGUUGAUUUAUGUUAUAUGAUCAUAGUCGUGGGCAGUUAUCUCCUUCUGAUUUAUCCGGAGAGCAUAGCAGCAGAUUUUUAUGAUAAAGUCUUAGAUUUGACAGAGGCAAGGAAAGGUGAGGAAAAUCCAGGCAUCCAGCUGUAUGCUCAAAAACAAACCUCCAGCGCAAGUGGAGACUGUUCUAAGUGACUGCUCCUCAGCAGCAGUUCACCAACCUAAGCGCAAGAGCCAUCGUUACAUUCCACAGGGAGAUCUUGUAUGGGCAAUCAGUUCAGACACGAUUCAUUCUCUCGUGGGACUCUCUGAACUUUUCUUUGUACUCCCGCUUAUGAAUUCAGUUCUAGGCCUGUGAGCUUUCAAGGAUGUUCUUGCAUUGGCGUCACUCGACAGGGCCAACAAUUGAGCUGUUGAGAAACAAAAAAAUAAAAGAGGCCUUCGAAGAUGGUUUUAGGAGUUGCGUAAAGAUUUUUAUGGCCAUUGAUCCGAAAUAUAUUGGGCAGACAAAUUUGGCGAAGGGGUGGCCAAAUGGAUGAAAGAAUUUUCUGUUAUGGAGGCCGUUGUAUUACUGAGAGAAAUGCUCUGUGAAAGCGAGAGAUAGAGCACACCUUUAAAAUCCAAAUACAAAAGAUGAUGUUUGCUCAGAGAAAACAGAGGAUGUACUUCAACUACUUUAACUUAAAAAUUUAUGAAAUGUUUUGGGACUUCUUUUAGUGUGAGCAGCCUUUGAGGCUUUGCAAAUUGUAGGAUAAUGGUGGACAAAAAUUGUCUUGUCUUGAUUAAGAUAUUGUAUAAGCUGCUAUUCAUUUGGUUCUCAACUUUUAGACAAAUGUGUUAUCUUUAAUGUAAAAGUUUAAAUUUGCAAUUUUAAAGUUUUUUAUUUUUUUUCA